GUUCGCGCGCUCUAAACAGCACUCAAGUAAUUCUCACAAAGCGAGUAACUAAGCGAAAAAUAAAAUAAAAAAUAGCUACGAAAAUCCACAAACUAUGAACCGGCAAAACAGAGGAGAUGGCAAAAAAUGCUAGGAAAGACUGCCAGCAAAAAGCAUUCUCACACAAGCACACCCACAGAGUCGAGAAACUCUUGAAAGUCAUGCAAAAACUAUAUUUUAGCAAUUUUUUCGGCAAAACUGUUCGCGCACGACUUUUUUACUCCAGUAGCAAUAUUUUUACACUAGAAAGGCGGGCCUUUUUCCGGGUUUUAAUGAGGUGUCACUUGCUUAAGAAAAUUAUCUCUAUCCCCUAUUCUAUUGUCAACUGUACCACGCCGAUCAAAAUUUAAAUUUAAAUUAAUUUUUACAACUUUUUUUCGAGAACAAGCGUUUCACAGGGCUA
Long non-coding RNA from Rhagoletis zephyria (snowberry fruit fly), 442 nucleotides. RefSeq lists it as uncharacterized. Lineage: Eukaryota; Metazoa; Arthropoda; Insecta; Diptera; Tephritidae. The record is from RefSeq and is a predicted model, not a curated record.